This is a long non-coding RNA of Homo sapiens (human), 23519 nucleotides long. RefSeq lists it as uncharacterized. The record is from RefSeq and is a predicted model, not a curated record. Lineage: Eukaryota; Metazoa; Chordata; Mammalia; Primates; Hominidae. The transcript is spliced from 2 exons.
GUUGUUGAAUCUUUUCAAGGGAAUGAUCUAGAGAGAAUGUGAACUGAUUGAGUCAAAAGGAAUAUGCAUGUGUCACAACUGUUGCUGCCAUUGCAGGGGGCUACACAAUGAACAAACAGUGAUAUCCGUAAGGUCUAGAGUGGGGCAAGGAGCUGCAGUGAUUAGGACACAUGUUGGGGACAUGCAUUACCAGGCUGAUCCAUUUCACCAGCAUCAGAAAUCAGCCCACGUGUCUGUGCCUUAAUUUUAAUUCUUAUUCAAGUGUAAACCUGUCAGGAACAUUUGGCAUUCUGUCUUAUGUCUGUAAAGGAAAGUGAGGCAGUAUGUUCUUAUAAAAAGCCUUAUUCUGUUCACAGUGUUCUAGCCUAGAUCCACCAGAAAACCCUGUUAUGCAGAGAAACACCUGAGAUCUUUUAUUAUGACCAAAACUGAUUUGACUGGUGAAAUGUUAUCAUUAUUGCCAUUGUGUGGAGAGUCCAUGCUCUACUAUGAGUUAUAGGGAGAGAGUGUAUCCAUCUGGGUCACCAAAAUGUGUCCGGAAUUGGUGGGUUCUUGGUCUCACUGACUUCAAGAAUGAAGCUGCGGACCCUUGCGGUGAGUGUUACGGUUCUUAAAGGUGAUGUGUCCGGAGUUUGUUCCUUCUGAUGUUCGGAGUUUCUUCCUUCUGGUGGGUUCUUGGUCUCGCUGGCUUCAGGAGUGAAGCUGCAGACCUUCGCGGUGAGUGUUACAGGUUAUAAAGGCAGUGCAGACCCAAAGAGUGAGCAGCAGCAAGAUUUAUUGCAAAGAGCGAAAGAACAAAGCUUCCACAGUGUGGAAGGGGACGCGAGUAGGUUGCCACUACUGACACAGGCAGCCUGCUUUUAUUCUCUUAUCUGGCCCCCACCCACAUCCUGCUGAUGGGUCCAUUUUACAGAGCGCCAGUUGUUUUGACAGGCUGCUGAUUGGUGCGUUUACAAUCCCUGAGCUAGACACAAAAGCUCUCCACAUCCCCACUAGAUUAGCUAGAUACAGAGUGCUGAUUGGUGUAUUUACAAACCUUGAACUAGACACAGAGUGCUGACUGGUGUAUUUGCAAUCCCUUAGCUAGACAUAAAGGUUCUCCAAGUCCCCACUAGACUCAGGAGCCCAGCUGGCUUCACCCAGUGGAUACCGCACUGGAGCCGCAGGUGGAGCUGCCUGCCAGUCCCGCGCCAUGCGCCCGCAAUCCUCAGCCCUUGGGCAGUUGAUGGGACCGGGCGCCAUGGAGCAGGGGGCGGCGCUCCUAGGGGAGGCUCGGGGCUGCGCAGGAGCCCACAGCGGGGGGCCAGGCGGGGAGGCUCAGGCAUGGCGGGCUGCAGGUCCUGAGCCCUGCCCUGCCGGGAGGCAGCUAAAGCCCGGUGAGAAAUCGAGCGCAGUGCCGGUGGGCCGCACUGCUGGGGGAUCUGGUGCACCCUCUGCAGCUACUGGCCUGGGUGCUAAGCCCCUCACUGCCCCGGGCCGCUCCGAGUGUGGGGCCCGCCAAGCCCAUGCCCAUCUGGAACUCUAGCUGGCCCAUAAGCGCCGCGCGCAGCCCAGGUUCCUGCCCGCACCUUUCCCUCCACACCUCCCUGCAAGCUGAGGGAGCUGGCUCUGGCCUCAACCAGCCCAGAGAGGGGCCCCCACAGCGCAGUGGCGGGCUGAAGGGCUCCCUGAGCAUGGCCAGAGCGGACGCUGAGGCCGAGGAGGCGCCAAGAGUGAGCGAGGGCUGCGAGGGCUGCCAGCACGCUGUCACCUCUCAAGAGCAUGGUUAAGCAAAAGACCCCGGCCUUUAGGAACUCCUGUUUAUAUGCUGAGUCUGGGUGAUGAAAGACUAAAGCUUCUCCAGUACUCCUAAGACAGCAACAAUUGGGAUGUAUGUUACCUGUGACUCAAGAGAAGAAAGUGUCCCAUCCAUCCCCCCAAAAGGAAAAAAAGUUCCACAACCUUUUGAUGGGAGUUAUUAUAUAUGUGAGAGCUAAGGGUAACUAGAAAUCUUGAGGCAAAUUCUGAGAAAAUUUUCUUCCUUUGCUAUACUCCUCCCUUCACUCUCACUGUACUUUUUACCUAAACAUAAGUAUGCUAUCUGUAUUCCCCAUUUAAUCUUUGAUGUGUAAGUGUUCCAGUCUAAAACCAGAUAGAUUAGUCCCUCUGCUGCUCCUCUGUAAAUUGCAACUUGAGAUGUUAGAGCAAAACAAAUGAAACCUUUUACUGAACACGAACUCCAUGUAUUUAGCCCAUUAGUGCAGGACUGUCCCAGAGACCCAGCCUACCCUAUGUUCUUUGACAGGGCUGUAGAGAGAUGUCAGAAACAUGAAGAGCUCCCUCUCCCUAAGCAAAGGAGUAUCAAAGACUGAGCUCUUCUUACAAGACCGAAUGUGCAGGGCACAUCCGCUGCAGCCUGUGUCACAUCCCCACCCAUCCCAUACUGACAGGUAUGGCAGAAGACCCUUAUCCCAUGGCAUGAGAUAAAUUUCCAUCUUUUUAGCAUACUUGCAGCUACUUGUAUAGUCUAAUAUUAGUGGCAGUAACAGCACAAUAAUAGUGUUACCAAAAGGUAUUUGGAUAGGUUAUCCUGCUUAGAAUACCUUUUUUUAUGGGGAGAAAAAUUAUUAUAAAAGGAAGUGAAUUAUUAGUGUCUUUUAUUUUAGUUCCAGUAGUAAAUAGUUUUAGUUAAUUCUUUGUUUAAUAAAGUUUUUAAAACAGCUUUUUGAGAAAUAAUUUACGUACCAUAAAAUUUGCCCAUUUUAUGGUUGAAUGAGUUUUAUUACUUUUUUAUUUCUUUAAUCUUGUUUCAGACCCUGAUUUUUUAGUUCUUAUUACAUUAUUCAUUUCUUUUUAAAAUCUUUAUUCAGAAGUUGAAUGAGUUUUAGUAGAUUUGUGUAAGUUGUACAGCCAUCACCAAAUUCAGUUGUACAAUACUUCCAUCAUCCCAAAAAGUUCCCUCAUGCCCCUUUUCAGUCGAUCCAUAUUCUCUCCCACCCUAGCCCCAGCCAACCACUUAAAGUCUGCUUUCUGUUGCUAUAGUUUCACCUUUUCUACAAUUUUAAUAUCAGUGGAUUCAUACCUACAUAGUAUGUUGUUUUUGAAAUUCAUCCAUAUUAUAUAUCAGUAGUUCAUUCCUCUUUAAUGCUGAGUAUUAUUUCAUUGUAUGGAUAUACCACAUGUGUUUAUCCAUUUGCCAGUCGACAUACACUUGGGUUAUUGCCAGUUUGGGGCCAUUAUGAAUAGAGCUGCAUUUAUGCAGAAGUCUUGUGUGGACAUGUGUUUUAAUUUCUCUUGGGUAUAUACAUAGGCAUGGAGUUGCCAGGUUAAAUGGUAAGUGUGUCCUUAACAUUGUAAGAAACUUCCAAGAUCUUUUCCAAGCUUAUAUCAUUUUAUAUUCCCAUUAGCAAUGCAUUAGGGUUCCAGUUUCUUCCUGUUCUCGCCAACAUUUAAUAUUGUCAGUCUUUUUAACUUUAGGUAUUCUAGUGGCUGUGUAGUAGUAUCUCAUUAUGGUAUAUUAAUUUGUAUUUCCCUAAUGACCAAUGAUGUUGAACAUAUUUUUUAUAUGUUCUUUGGUCACUCAUAUAUCUUCUUUUAUGAAGAGUCUGUUCACACUUUAAAAUUUUAACCAUGUUUACAAAAAGAUUCACAAAAUUGCCAUCUUAAUAUUGUAACUCAUCAAUAUGAUAUGUCUCUCUAUUUAGGUGUUUCUCAGCCACAUUUUAUAUUUUCAAUGCAUAGCUUGUUAAAUUUAUUCCUAAAUAUUUUAGUUUGUGAUGAUAUUGUGAGUGGAAUUUAAAAGUUUUAUUUUUAGAUUGUUUUUUUUUUUGCUACCACUUAGAAAUAUAUCAUUUUAUAUCACUUUUUGAAUACUGCAGCUUUGCUAAAUUUAACUUGUUAGCUCUCGAUUCCUUAGGAUUUUCUACAUCCAUGAUCAUGUCAUCUGCAAAUACAGUUUUACUCCUUUCCAAUCUAUAUGCCUUUUAUUUCUUUUUCUUGCCUUAUUGCACCUCCAGCAUAAUGUUGAAUAGAAGUGGAGUCAUCCUUGCCUUUUCCUUGAUCUUAGGUAGAAAACAUUGCAUUUCAUCACUAAGUAUGAUUCAGCUAUAGAUUUUUCAUAGCUGCCCCCCACAGGUUGUAGUUGAUUAAUACAUUCUAGGAAAACAUGGGAAAUGUUCAAAUAUGUUCACCAAAAACAGAUGAUUAUUUAACCCAUGGUAGGCUACCACGUAGCCUGUAACUGGUCAACAAAGCUGUGUUCUAAAGAGUUUUGCCAUCCCAUAGACUCAUUUCUGUUUGCAGAUGAAGCAUAUUCCCUGUGUUGAUAGUCAUAUGUCACGCGUGUGUCUAGCUAGAGUGGUGAAAGCCUGCAACCUGAGCUUAGCCCUCUUAUUUUUAAACCAGUAUCAUAAGAGACACCCAGAUAGCUGUCCUGGGCUAUACUCACUUGAGGUGAUGAAAGCAAGCCACAGUGAGAGAUGUUUAGAAAUGCUUUGUUUGAAUUAAAGGCAUGAAAAUUUGUGUGUAGAUAAUAGAAUCACGUACCACCAGAAUUAGAAGGAGCCUUAGUAAUCAUUUAGUCUCAUCUCUUUUUUUUUUUUUUAAAUAAAUGAGAAAACCAAGAUCGAAAAGGUAGUCCCUCACCUCAGAUCACACCUGUGUGCUAAAUAGUGGUAUUCCAUGUAGCCCCUGAACUAAACUUCAAGGCCUGCUGAAGAGUUUCUGUCCAGGGACCCCUCAUGGCAGUGCCUGCUCCUCCCUUCCUUCAGCUUAGGUUUCAGCCACACUCACUGUACCUCCCUGUCACUUCUUCCUGCCCUGUAGUCUCUAUUGAACCCAGACUAUCUCUUCUGAAGUACCCACAUUUCUUGGUCUUUCUUCCAAAUUCACCAGACUCUCUUAACUUCUUCUUGUUAGUUCAGCCUCUAAAACCUUGCCCAGGACUUGGGACCCUGUGUGGAGCCUUUGCAGCAGAACCACCAAAUAAGGCCAGUUAUGGCAAACACACGCACACGCAUAGUAGUUAGUAUUUAGUCAAAAUAAUCGGAUUUUUAAAAAUGUUUUCUUUCAGAUCAAUAAUAAAUUACAAAGUUUUACUAAAGUUAUGUCCUUUCCAAAGCCUUUAAUGUGUAGUUAAAACUAAUUUAUGUUAAGCACAUUGUAUGCAAAUACCUGCUACUAGGUACUCUUAGUCACCCUAAUAGAUUCUUCCUGUGAUUCCCCUCUUUUAAAAUUUUUAUUUCCAUAGGCUAUUGGGGAACAGAUGUUGUUUGUUUACAUGAUUAAAUUCUUUAGUGGUAAUUUGUGAGAUUCUGGUGCACCCAUCACCCAAGAAGUAUACACUGCAUCUUAUUUGUAGUGUUUUAUCCCUCACCCCCUUCCCACCCUUUCCCCCUGAGUCUCCAAAGUCGUUGUGUCAUUCCUAUCCCUUUGCAUCCUCAUAGCUUAGCUCCCUCUUAGGAGUGAGAACAUACAAUGUUUGUUUUUCCAUUCCUGAGUUACUUCACUUAGAAUAAUAGUCUCCAGUGUCAUCCAGGUUGCUGCAAAUGCCAUUAAUUCAUUCCAUUUAUGGCUGAGUAUUACUCCAUCAUGUAUAUAUGUAUAUAUAUACACCACAGUUUCUUUAUGCACUCAUUGAUUGAUGGGCAUUUGGGUUGGUUCUACGUUUUUGCAAUUGCAAAUUGUGCUACCAUAAACAUCCAUGUGCAAGUAUCUUUUUUGUAUAAUGACUUCUUUUCCUCUGGGUAGAUACCCAGUAGUGGGAUUGCCGGAUCAAUGGUAGUUUUACUUUUAGUUUUUUAAGGAACCUCCACACUGUUUUCCAUAGUAGUUGUACCACCAGCAGUGUAAAAGUAUUCCCUGUUUACUGCAUGCACAGCAACAUCUAUUAUGUUUUGAUUUUUUGAUUAUGAUCAUUCUUGCAGGAGUAAGGUAGUAUUGCAUUGUGGUUUUGAUUUGCCCUUCCCUAAUCAUUAAUGAUGUUGAGCAUUUUUUCAUAUGUUUGUUUGCCAUUUGUAUAUCUUCUUUUGAGAAUUUUCUAUUCAUGUUCUUAGCCCACUUUUUGAUGGGAUUUUUUUCUUGUUGAUUUGUUUGAGUUCAUUGUAGAUUCUGGAUAUUAGUCCUUUGUCAGAUGUAUAGAUUGUAAAGAUUUUCUCCCACUCUGUGGGUUGUCUGUUUACUAUGGUGACUGUUCCUUUUGCUGUGCAAAAGCUCUUUAGUUUAAUUAAGUCCCAGCAGUUUAUUUUUGGUUUUAUUGCAUUUGCUUUUGGGUUAUUGGUCAUGAAAUCCUUGCCUAAGCCAAUGUCUAGAAGGGUUUUUCCAAUGUUAUCUUUUAGAAUUUUUAGUUUUAGGUCUUAGAUUUAAGUCUUUAACCCAUCUUGAGUUGAUUUUUGUAUAAGGUGAGAGAUGGGGAUCCAGUUUCAUUCUCCUACAUGUGGCUAGCCAAUUAUCCUAGCACCGUUUGUUGAAAAGGGUGUCCUUUCACCACUUUAUGUUUUUGUUUUGUCAGAGGUCAGUUGACUCUAAGUAUUCGGGUUUAUUUGUAGGUUCUCUGUUGUUUUCCGUUCGUCUGUGUGCCUUUUGUUAUGCCAUUACUAUGCCGUUUUGGUGACUACGGCCUUAUAGUUUAGUUUGAAGUCAGAUAAUGUGAUGCCUCCAGAUUUGUUCUUUUUAUUUAGACUUGCUUUGGAUAUGUGGGCUUUUUUUUUUUUCCAUGUGAAUUUUAGGAUUGUUUUUUCUAGUUCUGUGAAGAAUGUUGGUGGUACUUUGAUGAGAAUUGCACUGAAUUUGUAGAUUGCUUUUGGCAGUAUGGUCAUUUUCACAAUAUUGAUUCUACCCAUCCAUGAGCAUGGGAUGUGUUUCCAUUUGUUUAUGUUGUCUAUGAUUUCUUUCCGCAAUGUUUGUAGUUUUCCUUGUAGAGGUCUUUCAUCUCCUUGGUUAGGUAUAUUCCUAAGUUUUCAUUUUGAUGGUUUUUUUUGUUUGUUUUGUUUUUGCACCUAUUGUAAAAGGGGUUGAGUUCUUUAUUUGAGAGCUACUGAUUUGUGUACAUUAAUUUUGUAUCCAGAAACUUGCCGAUUUAUUUAAUCAGUUCUAGGAGCUUUCUAGAGGAGUCUUUAGAGUUUUCUAGGUGAACGAUCAUAUCAUCCAUCAGCAAACAGUGAGUUUGACUUCCUCCUUAAUGAUUUGGAUGCCCUUUAUUUCUUUCUCUUGUCUGAUUGCUCUGGCUAGGACUUCCAGUACUAUGUUGAAGAGGAGUGGUGACAGUGGGCAUCCUUGUCUAGUUCCAGUUCUCAGAGGGAAUGCUUUCAACUUUUCCCCAUUCAGUAUUUUGUUGGCUGCAGGCUUGUCAUAGAUGGCUUUUAUUAUAUUGAGGUAUAUUCCUUGUAUGCUGAUUUUGGUAAGAGUUUUAAUCAUAAAGUGAUGCUGGAUUUUGUUGAAUGCUUUUUCUGCAUCUACUGAGAUGAUCAUGUGAUUUUUGUUUUCAAUUAUGUUUGUGUGGUAUAUCCCAUUUAUUGACUUGAGUAUGUUAAACCAUCCCUGCAUCCUUGGUAUGAAACCCAUUUGAUCAUGGUGGAUUAUCUUUUUGAUAUGUUGUUGGAUUUGGUUAGCUAGUAUUUUGUUAAGGAUUUUAGCAUAUAUGUUCAUCAGGGAUAUUGGUCUGUAGUUUUCUUUUUUGGUUAUGUUCUUUCCUGGUUUUGGUAUUAGGGUGAUACUGGCUUCAUAGAAUGAUUUGGGGAGGGUUUCCUCUUUAUCUUGUGGAAUAGUGUCAAUAGGAUUAGUACCAACUCUUCUUUGAAUGUCUGGUAGAAUUCUGCUGUGAAUCCGUCUGGUCUUGGACUUUUUUUGUUGAUAUAUUUUUAAUUAGCAUUUCAGUCUUACUGCUUGUUAUUGGUCUGUUCAGGGUAUCUAAUUCUUCCUGAUGUAAGCUAGGAGGGUUGUAUCUUUCCAGGAAUUUAUCCAUCUCGUCUAGGUUUUUCUAGUUUAUGUGCAUAAUGGUGUUCAUAGUAGCCUUGAUUGAUCCUCUGUAUUUCUGUGUUGUCAGUUGUAAUCUCUUCCGUUUCAUUUCUUAUUUAGCUUAUUUGGAUUUUCUCUCUUCUUAGUUAAUCUUGUUAAUGGCCUAUGAAUUUUAUUUAUCUUUUCAAAAAAAACAGCUUUUUGUUUCAUUUAUCUUUUGUGAUUUUUUUGUUUCAUUUAGUUUUACUCUGAUAUUGGUUCUUUUCUUCUUCUGGGUUUGUGAUUCCCCUCUUAAGGAGUACUUCUAAGAAGUGUGGGCCUCAGCCCAGCGCUUUAGAGUCCUUCUUUAGAAGGUAAAAACGCAGUUCUUUAAGUAAUUUUAAUGUACCCCCAAGUUAGACCAUACUGCCUGUACAUUUUAUAGACUCAUUUGUUCAUAGGAAACACCAAGAUAAUUUAGAAACAAAGAGAAUUACUGGAAAUUGCAAAUGAGUAGUACCCACAUCAAUGAGGUUUCAUAUUGGUUCCAGUCACUUCCAUUCUCUCUCACUUAGAGAUUUAUACCUUUUGGGUGUGUAACACAUACCUUCCUCCCACUGUUGUCCCCUUCCUUGCCAGACUCAAAAAAUCUCAGCAGGCAGGAGUACAUGAUGCUCUGUAACUUCCCACAGCCCCUAUUGGAGUAUGUGGCCUGUAGUGGCUGCCCAGUCAGUGGUGACUAAUAAUGUACAAGAAAAAAUGGAAAGUCCAAGAAAUGUGGUGUCCUCAUGAGCCUGCUGCUUAUGAUUAGGGGAAAGCCCUUUUGGAACAGUGUUUGAAAGCAGGCCCAACCACAGCUGAGUGGGAAUAUUUCUGGGCCAGUAGCCAUGUAAAUUCUUGAGGUCCAGGGUACAUGUGCAGCCUCAGGAUUUCCCAGUGGAUUAUUUGGCUGAACGAAAAAGAUCCAGAUAGAGUGUUUCCCCCCCACCAAUUUUUAUUGGUAGAGGAAGAAAAUAAUUCAGACUAGACAUAUAUGCUGUCAGAUAGGGUAGUGUCCUUGCUUGCUUGAAUUAAAAUUAUUUGGUAUGCUUAUGAGUUUAAUUAAAUAACUCAACUUUGGGGAAGGGUGUACUUGCACAAAUAAAACCUGUGUUUGUAUUAGUACUUGGACAUGAAUAAGAUGGGUUCUGUGGGCUGGGUGCGGUGGCUCACACCUGUAAUCCCAACACUUUGAGAGCCAAGGUGGGAGGAUCGCUUGAAGCCAGGAGUUCAAGACCAGCCUGGACAAUGUAGCAAAAACCCGUCUCUACAAAAAAAUAAAAUAAGCCUAGUGUGGUGGCAUAUGCCAUAGUCCUAACUACUCAGAGGCUGAGGGAGAGGAAUUGCUUGAGCCUAGGAAUUUGAGGCUGCAUUGAGCUGUGAUCAUGUCCCUGCACUCCAGCCAGGGUAACAGAGUGAGACCCUGUCUCAUAGAAAACAAAAUACAUGGGUUCUUCGGAGGUCACAGACCUACUGUGUGUAACCGCACUAGUCUCUGAUUCCUGCCUAACAAACUUGCGAUUCCUUGACAUAUAAUCCAAGUAAUUAAGGUAUCUUAGAAGCCAUCCAUCUGGUGCCAGUCCAGACCCCUAAACUGACGCUGCAUAAACCCCAUCAGCAGUUUCCUGGCAGGUAGUCCCACUGUGUACAUCUGCAUGGAGGGAGUGUGGCAUCUCCUGCAUGGAGGAUGUAUGGCAUCUCCUGUUGCUGGGCAACUUAGAUUGACUAGGUGCUUCCUCUACCCAGCUUAAACUGGCCUCCCUCUAGAACACAUACUCAUUCCCCCUCACUCUGCCCUCCGGAGCAGUCUGUCACAAAUCCUCUUCUUCAAGCCUGUUCACAGAUUUGAGCACUGUGAUGUAAGCUUUCCAGCAGCCCAGCUCCCGCAGUAACAAAUUCAUUCUCAGAGACCACAGAACUGAUAUUGGAGCAUGAAGGACAGGGUCAGAAACAGGACUGGACUCAGUGUUUGUCUCCACAGUUUUUCUCAGUGAGGCCCUCACAAAACCUGGUGUCUUUUUUAACAAAACCCUUCAUCUGGUGAUCUCCCCUGAGACAGCUCAACAGUCUUCUCUUCUGUGGAGUCCAUGGUUGGCCUCUGUUUAUGAUAUAUGUCUCAGAGCAUAUUGAAAUUGUCUGUUUACAUGUCUGUCCUUUCUCCAGACCAUGAGCACUUAACGAUAUUCUUCUGCAGUUCUCGGCUCUUACUGCAGUGCCUGGCGUGCGGUGACACAUUAAUAGACACUUGAAUACACUGUGAGAUCCCUGCGUCUUGCAGUUGUGAUCAUCUGGGUGAAGGAAAAAGAGGAAUAGCUUUAUUGAACAGCUAGUAUAUCCUGGGUACCUGUACUUGAGUUAUAUCAUUUGACUCUUAAGAGCAUUGUUGGACAAGGCCGGGCGCGGUGGCUCACGCUUGUAAUCCCAGCACUUUGGGAGGCCGAGGCGGGCGGAUCAUGAGGUCAAGAGAUCAAGACCGUCCUGGCUAACAUGGUGAAACCCUGUCUCUACUAAAAAUACAAAAAAAUUAGCCGGGCGUGGUGGCGGGCGCCUGUAGUCCCAGCUACUCGGGAGGCUGAGGCAGGAGAAUGGCGUGAACCCGGGAGGCAGAGCUUGCAGUGAGCCGAGAUCACGCCACUGCACUCCAGCCUGGGUGACAGAGCAAGACUCUGUCUCAAAAAAAAAAAAAGAGCAUCAUUGGACAAAUGGUACCUCCUUUUUUAUAAAGUUGAAACUGAAACUUUGAAGCUUAGAAAUAUGAAGGUAGCACCUGGGAUUUGAGCCCAGGUCUGUUGAGCUCCCAGAACCCCACCACUUUUUCAUAUCCCCAAGCUGGCCCAUGGGGUCCCCAAAACAGUGAGGAGAGGACUACAGCAGUAACUGUCCAUAUUUUCAACCAUACAGAAUUUAGUCCAUUCCUUAACCACUUCCCCGUUUCAGAGAUGCUUUUUAUUGAAUGGUAAAAAUGUAUGUACCUGACUGUGAGAACCACUUAAGAUGGGGUAAUGAGUCAUCCAGUGCACUGUGUUUUGUUGUGUCCCGAAUGCCACAUCUAGAUAAGAUGCUUCUGGAAAACCGGGUCCACAGCAUGGUCACCUUUUGGUCUCCCGCUGUACCUGGGUAAUAUGAGACACAGUGGCAUUUAAUUCUGUUGACAUGCACAUUCCGUUCUCCUGAGUGCUAAUUCAUAUCCUCAUAUUCCUUGAAAAGUUACCUCCUCCAAGAUCCCUUAUUGCAGUUGACUUCCCCUUGGUGCUCCCGAUUUAUUACACAUCGGUGAAUUAUAUUGAUUUUAUUUGCAGUUGAUUUCUUGCUUUGCUCUUUGUGACCUUCAGCUAUUUUUCUCUGCAUGUGUCUCCAGCUAUCUUAAAAGGCAGGAACUAGUGACUUCUUUUUUUUCCUUCUCCUCCACUCAGCCCCUAGAAUAGAGCUCUGUAAACAGUGCACAGGUGACCAAUAAAUACUUUUGACUCCUUGAGCUUGAUAGCUUCUUUCCCUUGCUGGACUGACAGCCUAACACUGGAGCCUGAAUCCUUUAUUUAUUAGAUGAGAUUUCUAUAGCACCUUUACUCUGAGAAGAUCAGUAUCAAUGAAGUUUGUUUCUGCUUCUGGAAAGUGCUUUUUACCUAAGCAGACCAAAGUCCUGAUAAGACCACAUGACAGCCCUUACUCCUCAGCUGCUGGGGCCUGGAGACGCAGACUAAGAAAAGCCUCACCACUUCACAUUUUGCUGUCUUGUUGCCAGCCACGAGCCUGAAUAAGAUUCUGUGCCAGCAUAAACUCUAAUGUUGGUGGAUACUGUAGUCAGUGUUACAAAAAGAGCAUUUGCAUUUGGAGAGCAUUGCCAUCUUUUGGAAGGGAGACAUGGAGAAGACUGCCUUAGAGGUCAGUAUAUCUGCCAAUAACCAGAUCCCUGUGAAUGGAGCUUUCAUGGGUUGUUGGCUUUCACCUAGUGCCUGAUGUCAGGGGGCACUAGAACUGUUCAGUCUCUCGAAGUCGUGUUGCUUAGUGAGCUAAGGUUACUGGGACAGGACCCAUGAGGGGCGUGACAGGUGAUACAUUCCCAGAGACUCAAAAGGAACAAGCCCUGGAUAAGUUGGGAAUAAGCGCUGAGAGGUGACACUCUUAACUGUUGGGAAAAGGGGCUAGCACACUUCAGAUCUGGAUAGUUGAGACUGACCAUGAAAUACUACAGCAAAGUUCAGAGGCAAAAAAACUGAAAAAGGUGGAUGUGUUAGCCCUAUAGUUCAUUGGAGAAGUGCCUAAAAUAAUUGGAUUAACUGGCUUCUCUAAGAAAUUUCUCACCUUUCUACAUCUCCGUGUUUUGUGCAGGCAUCCCCAUCCAUAAUUCAGGGUUAGACAGAGCUCAGUUAAGAAAUGAACACGUGAGGCCGGCCGUGGUGGCUCACGCCUGUAAUCCCAGCACUUUGGGAGGCCAAGGCGGGUGGAUCACCUGAGGUCAGGAGUUCGAGACAAACCUGACCAAUAUGGUGAAACCCUGUCUCUACUAAAAAUACAAAAAUUAGCCAGGUGUGGUGGCGUGCGCCUGUAAUCCCAGCUACUCAGGAGGCUGAGGCAGGAGAAUCGCUGGAAUCUGGGAGUUGGAGGUUGCAGUGAGCCGAGAUCGCGCCACUGCAUUCCAGCCUGGGCAACAGAGCAAGACUCCAUCUCAAUUAAAAAAAAAACAAACAAAAAAAACACGUUUCCGGUGAGCUGUGUAGACAGAUGAGAGGUACACACGUAAGAGCUGCUUGGUGUGGACACUUACUAGCAUCACCAAGUUUGGCCUGCCCUUGAGCCUGCAGUCCAGAAGGCUCCCUUCUCUGUGGAGCAGGUAUUAAGGCAGUCAUAGCUGUGGAUUUCCUUUUCCUUUUCCUUUUUUGAGAAACAAAAAUGGUCACAAGUAAAAAGAAAUCCAUGUGUUGGAGAGAAAAGAGACACAGUAGAGAAGGACUAGAAAUGUCUGGAAAUGGAGGCGGGGCAAAAAUGGAGGUGUGAUGGUGGGUGUGGGAAGUCCACUGGCAUUGACCUGAGAGAGGUGUUUGGACACAGCUGCCAGUGCCUGAGGAUGCCACCGCUUAUUUCCUCCUGAGAUGUGAAGGAUGUUCCCUUUCUCUGUUGUUGCCUGUGGAAAUGAGAGGCAGAGCCACCUGUACUGUCUAGUGUAUUGCUAUACCCCAGUACAGUGCCUGUGACACAGUCCAAGGAAGAUUACAGGGAAUGUCCCAUGUAGCUUUGGAUACUUCCUUGUUCGUGAUCACAGGCCACACCAACUGGUGCACAUGCUAAAAUGUACAGUGCCUGGGUGGGUGACCGGAAGACAGAUGACUCUGGCCCGUGGGGAGUACUGCCUGACUGCUGUCUUCCAUAGAAGACAGAUCUUUGCAUGAUCCAAGGCAGGCCUGCUUCAUUUACUCUGAUGGCUCCUCCAGAAAAGUACUUUGGGACGGCAAGGGAGCUAGGGAUGAGUGUGUUCCAUGCCGAUACUAGAUUUCUUUGUUAGUAUUAAAUACUUGCUUUUGCUCUAGGCCACAGGGUGGGAGGUGGCAGGCAGUGGCUACCACAGGUGAAGAUGGGUCCUGUGGGUCCAGGAGACAGGCUGGCAGCCACCUGUCUGUGCCUUGAGGACUGUAAGGGUCAUCAGGACACGUGCUGUGCACAGCAGGCCACUGUUCUCCACACACCCAGUGCUGUUCUUUCUUGGACCAUGGCAGCUGUGAGUCAGCGCACCGUGUAGUUUGUGCAUCCUUGUGAUGAAUGCACAGGAUGACAUUUGUUUCCCUGAGCUCUGCACCAUAUGUUCUAGAUUCACCCAGGAAGUGGGGGUUCCAGAUUUACAAACUAAAGGGCUAGGUUUAUGUUAAUACUCUUGCAUCAAUUAAAUUGCUCUUCCCUCAAAUCCAGGAUUAAUUUUCCAUGGAAUCUGGAGUAACUGACCAAAAUACCAGGGUGGAAUAGGAAAUGGAUGUCAGUGGGAAUUGUGUGGUUACAUUCAAUUCUGUGUUGUCUGUACUCCGCUUGUUUGUAAUUAUGAGCAACAGCAAAGCUUCAGUUCCAGGAGAGUAUCCAGUGCUAUCUUGGACAUUUCUGGGUUACCUCUAAGAGUGAGCUCAGCAAGUGUAGGCUCCUAUGAAUAACGGCAAUAGAAAGGCACUGUUAGGAAAGUAAACGUGCUACUGCAAAAAACAGGAUACACCACAAGCCAGACAGCAGUAGUUUUUCAGUUGUGCCCAGUGCACUUGUGUUCACCCAGGUAACUGGAUGAACUGUGUGGUGAUGGUGUUCUCCUGUGAGGGGGAGGGGCACAGUUACUAGCAUUAAAUAUUGCUAGAAGUAAUAUUUUUCUGUUUUUCUAUCUUGUUGCUAGAAGCAAUAUGUUUCUAUUUUUAAUGAGUCAAAUGCUGACUCUAUUUAUUUAUUCAUUCUGUUCAUCUUUAUUGAGUUGUAGAGGAAGAGCAAGGGGUAAAACUGACAAAAGUCCCUGACCUCUUGGUGCUUUUAUUCUUUAGGGGAGAGAUGCAGUAAGCAAGGGAACAGAUAAACAAGAAGUUCCCUCCAACUGCUGGGAGGGGGACGGCUUGGAGGGCAGCAAAGGCAGAAGCAGGCAACACGCCUGAGCUCUAGCAGCCUGGUGGAGCCAUCGGCCUCACCGCAUUCCAGCCCUGCUGGCUGCCUUUCUCUUCCAUCAGUAUGCUGAGCUUAUUCCUGCCACAGGACAUUUGCAUGAGAAGAGGUGCAGAGCCGAUUCAGGACAUCAUUUAGAUCUAACUAGACCUCUAAUAAAGUCAGUGUGAGGAGUAAGGAAAAGAGAGGAAUCAAGAAUUGAGCCCACAGUUUGACUUGAACAGCAGCUGGGUGGAUAUAUUGCCACUCACACUGAGGCAGAGAAGAUGAGGAGAUAAACUAACAGAGGUCAAGAAGAUGAAGAGUUGUUUCAAACAUGGUACAGUUGAGAUUCCUAGCAUUAUUCUAGUCAGACGUGUUUGUCAAGUAGGCCAUUGGAUAUCGGGAUUUGGAUUUGAGGGGAAUUCAUAGAUGGAAAUAUAAGUUCAAGAGGCAUCAGCAUGGAUACCCUAUUUGGAUCUGGAUGAAAUUACCUAAAGGAGAAAAUGCAGGAGGACGUGAUGCUGGGUGAUUUUAGAGGAGAAACCAUGAAGGAUUCCAAGGAGCAGCAGUUGGUCAGGUGGGAAGAAAGGAGUGUGACAUCACAGAAGAUGAAAAAUAAAAGUAUUUUAAGAAACAGAAAAGUGGACAAAUGCUGUAGAGGUUGAGGUGAGGAUAUUGGAUUUCGCCCCUUGAAUACCUGAUUGGCCUUUGCUUGCUCCCUAGGGUUCAGAGAACACAGUCUUUCUAUACCUAACCUAUCAUUCAUUUACCUGACCAAAAUAUUUUGAGUGAACCAAGCAGUAUUUUAGGGAUAGAGGAUAUGUGAUAAAUUACAGAAGCAUGGUGCUUGAUUUUAUGAAAUCUAGCCAAGGAGACAAAUUAAAUGAACAAAUUCCACAAAUGACGCUAAAUUAAAAUUGUGACUAGUGAUUGAAGGAAAAGUUCAAGAUGCCUUGAAAGCAUCCAACUGGGCCCUAACCUAGUCUGAGGGUCCAGGAAGAUCUUCCUGAGGAAGUCAUUGAAGCUAAGGCCUGAGUAAGCAAGAAUUUCCUUUGGAAGUCAGUGUGUCUGGGACAUAGAAUGCAAGGGAGUAAAUGGCACAAGGGGAAGCGGCAGCCAGGGUUGAGAUCGUGCUUCAGUGGGGAAAUUUUUAUUGUAAUCAGUGGAGCACGGUAAUCACAGACAGGGCUGGAUCUCAUCAUCUCAUCAUGUUGGCUGCCCUGAGGAAGGUGGCUUUGAUGUGGGGCGACCACCUAAAGGAAGCUGUUGCAGUAGCCUCGGAAAAAAGUUACUGGUCUCUUUGACUAGGUGGUGGCUUAUGACGCUGGCUGCUCUGAGGAAGGUGGAUUUGAUAUGGGGCGACCACCUAAAGGAGGCUAUUGCAGUAGCCCUGGAAAAAAAGAUUCUGGCGGCUUUGACUAGGUGGUGGCAGUAGAGAUGGCAAGAAGUGAAUGGAUUUGAUUUUUGGAAAUCGUAUCCACAAGACUCGGUAAUUGAAUGUGAAGAGUAAGUAAGGUAUCAGUGAUGACUCCAGGUUUGUGUCAUGAGCCACUGGCUGCAUGGUGGCCCUAUUCUCUUAGAAUGGGAGACAUUGAAGAAGAAGCAGAUUUGUGAGGAAGUAGCAAGUGUCCUAUGUUAGACAUCUCAAGUCUGAAAUACCUGAGAUGCCAAGUAGAUAAUUGAAUACACAGAUAUGGAGCUCCAAAGAGAGGUCUGGGGCAGAGAGAUAAAUUUCAGAAUUGUUAGCAUACAUAGUUAGAAUUUUAACCUUGAAGAAGAGUGUGAAGAGUGUAGGAUUAAGACAAAAAGAAGGUCCAGCACUGAAUAAUGCUAAUAUUUCAAGGAUAGCAGAUGAAGAGCUAUCAGAGAAAGAGAAGGAAAACAAGGUAAGCAGAUGUCACAGAGCCCACAGGAGUAGUCAGCUUUCUAGAGGUUCUAAGUGAUAAUUGAAAAGGGUCAUUAGAUUUAGUGAUUUUCAGGCUCCAUUCGUAGGGUGUUUUGUUUUGUUUUGAGACAGGGUCUUGGUCUUUUGCCCAGGCUAGAGUGCAGUGGCUCAAUAAUGGCUCACUGCAGCCUUGACCUCCUGGUUGCAAGUGAUCCUCCUGCCUCAGCCCCACAAAAUGCUGGGCUUACAGACAUGAGCCACCAUGCCCAGCUGUUCAUGGGGUGUUUUUUUAUACCCAAAUUGUAACCAUUAGGUGAAGUCAUCAUAUCUGAGCCCCCUCUCCUACACCCCCAAGUGAAAUGGAACUGGGCUAUGUGGUUAUUAAUACCUUCCACACAGGAGAUUUGUAGAGUCCUUUAGUGGGCUAUCCAUUCAGUAGGGCUUUCACUAUAGUGUGUAGUCUGACUUCAGAUUUGAACUCAUGUCUGCAGAAAAUAUUUUUCUAUACUGAAUAAGCCUCUUCCCCUUCAGGGCAGGUGUUUUUAAAUAAACUAACUUUAAACAUGGAGAAUCAAGAAGCCAGCUUCUCUGCCCGCCCCCACCCCCACCCACACCACACAGUCUUAUAACAGUGGACAGCAGACAUUGUAGGACUUCUGACCUUGCAGUUCAGAUUUUGUGGAAACGGGGCAAAAGCAUGCUUGUACUUCUAAGCUCCUCGGAAUGACCUUUUUGAGUUAUCGUGGUGAAAACAAGAAGCCCUUAGAGAAACUUCAUUCUUAAAACAAGCACAUAAAACAAGUGCAUGUGAUGCUGGCACAGUUUGGGUGAAAACAUAGAUUGUUUGCAGAAUGUCUACAGCCCAUUCCUUUCUCCUGCUCUUCCUUUCACUACAGCUCCCAGCCUGACAGUCUUGGGGAAAUAGACAUGAGGCUUUUCAACAAACAAUCAGUACGUGACCAAACUUGGCAACACAUGCUCUGCCUCUGUUUGUGACAGAGGCUUGCAGAAUACUCAGCUGUACCUGUAGAGGAGCUCCUCUCUGAUGUCCUUGGAAAGUUUCCGUGUCCCUUUCAUGGUGUCCCUAACCACUGAGUACUUUCCAGGCUGCACUAUAUAGUCUUUGUAUAUUUAAUUCAGAUUUCUCUGAAAUUUGCAUAUCUUCAGAAAUUUUUACUUAGCUUGUCACUUAGCAUGCAUUUAUAGUCUGUAAAGACAGGCUUGUGGAGGGGGAGAGAGGAAACUUGUACAUCAUAUGUUCAGAGGAAGAUUUCCACAUUCGUUCUCUUUUGUCGGCAGUGACUUCUCAAAGGAGAAUGGAACCAGAAUCUAGAUGGGGAGGUAAAAGCAAGUGGGGCAGAAAAAAUGUUGUGUGAAUGGAGGAGGAAGGAACAGACAUGAUGGGGGAAGGGGGUCAGAGUCAUAAUGCCAAGCAUGUCAGCUGCACCGUGUAGGGCAAAAUGGCAAAAGGGAUGACCCCACCCCGAAGAAUCAUCCCAGGACCAACCAGCCUUCCUUGAGCACAUGCCGGGUGCUUCACAGGCACGGUUUUCAUUUAUGCCCGUAACAGCCCCAUCUUAGAGCAGACACAGCGGAGGUUCUUCAAGGUUAAAUGGCCUGAGCCACAUAACUGUCAAAACAGGGCAGCAGGAACCUGAAUUCAGUACUUGGGUCUAAAGCUCACACUCCAUGCUGUAUUAUCCUGAAAGAGAAUGUGUAGUUCAGCUGUUAAGGGACUUGCUGUGGAAGCAGGGUUGAAACUAAGUUACAGGUCUCUCCCUACCCCAGUUUCUCAUCUUCAUACUCCCUGUGAUCCCAGUGUGUUGAUUGAAAGGUCAGUUGGGAAAGAUGGGGAAAAUGUUCCUUUCUUUUCCAGGUGUUUCUCUGGAGAGAGAUGUGUGGCAUUUAUAGUCUGAUGCCCCCUGACCACGUUGCCACUCGGACAUUCUGUGACUUGGAUGAACUGACUCUUGCCUGCAAAGGUGCCUUCAGGGAGGCUAAACAGGCCACAGCUCCCUGGUGAGCCAUGUGUCAGGAGCCUGGCAACUGAGUUACCCCCAUGGGCCCAGGCUGUGUCUUCAGCAGCUCCUGGAUGGAAUGCGUGCCUCCCCUUUUGUCAUCUCUACUUUAACUUUGGAGCUGGUUUUGUAGGAGACUGCUCUGUUUGAGAAGAUAAUCUUUUAAAGGAUUGGGAAAUGCUGAAAGAGAAAGCCAAACAAAUCAGGAGCCUACUGAAAGGAGGAUAAGGUCGUUCCCAAAACAGAAGUUUCGUACCAGCACAGCACUCUUCCCCUGAGAGCCGUGUAGAGGCUGGAGGAGGUGGAGGGGCCCGCCAGCAGUGCAGGUGCCUCCUUAGGGGUUUUUGGACCCUAAAGACUGCCCCAGGUACCAAGUGGUUAAUGCCAUCUGCUUUCAGCUACUGAAAUGAAAUGAUGUUUGAAAGAGCAAGUCAUUUCAUUAUUCUUGUGGCAAAAACUGCCUUGAGCCAUUUUCUCUUAGUUUUUAAAUAUAUGUUCAUCUCCAGAUAAAACAGCCUAGCAUAUGAGCCUGCAGCCAGCCCCCGUCUCCUUGUGGGCUGGGCAUUGAAGGGCUUGCUUGGAGGAGAGUUCUCAUAAGUCACAAUAUCUUUCAUGGUGUGGGCCUCCUAACCUUACCCUACCCGCUGGGUUGCAAAAAUAGGUUUUCCUAUAUGGAGGCAAAAGAGUAAGCGAUGGAAGGUUUGUUCUCUGGCUGUCAGGUAAAGUGAGGGCUGCUUGAGCUGGGUGAUAGAAGGAGACAUUACUGGGACGAAGCCGACAUUCUCCACAGAGGAGAGGAAAGAGGUAAUUAGAGCUUUUGCAAGAAUGGGGCUGUCUGGAGAAACAAUAAUAAAGGACAUCAACAGUGGUGAAUUUUUUUAUACUUUUAAAAUGGCAUGUGUACAAACUGCAUGGGGAGCUUCGUUAGCUGGACUGUGGCACAGUUUUCUUGCCUGCACUGCUGACGGCUCUCUGAGAGCGAUGUGACGGCACAUGCCAAGGGAGGGCUCUCAAUCACCGCUGACUGCACACAGCUGCCUUAUGAGUUCUUUGCACAAGGCUUUUGUAUCUUUGCCUCUAUCAUACUGCUUUUGGUUCUAACAUUUAGCUGGCAUGUAACUGAUAUUUUAAUUUAUUUGGGGGAAAGCAGAUGAUUGCUUCUCUUUUAAAGCUGUCUCGAUAUGAUUUAGUGUUUCUUAUGAAAUUGUUGAGGAGGAGUGUGGGCUUUUCUAAAUUGCAAGUUUUCCUUCUCUUUGAAAAGCAGACAGACUGAUGCCCAGCUUGUUGAUUCACUGUGGCUUUGGUUCCAGUGCCCUGGGCAGCUGACUUCUGUCCAUCCAGUGGUUCUCUUCUCAGCCCAGCAGAGCACUAUGUCAGCCAACUCAGCAAGCUGGGAUCCAGUUCUGUUUAUUGGAGUCUAAUGAUUUUCCCCCUACCAUGCAAAGCCAGGGAUGGAGGAGAAUGCAAAGCAGAUGCCUUCCAUUCCCAAAACACCUGCAGCUGCUUUGCCUGUACCCUGGCCUGAUGAAAUAAAAUGCAUUUAGAUCCUUUAAUAUAAUACAUUUCUGUGCUACAAAUUCUGCCUUGGGCAUUGGGUCACCGGAUGUGGUAUAAUCCAGGGAUUGCUGCUGGUGGGAGUAUAAAUGGCUAAUGCUUUACAACAAGCUUCCUUGUAACCACCUGCUGUUCCCAACGUGUACUUACAUAUGAGCUAUGAGGUCAGUGAGCUGUCCUAAGCUUUAAACAAUUAUUACCUUGCUAGAAAAAUGUGAUAUAUAUAUAUAAUAUAUAUAUAUAUAUAUAUAUAUAUAAUAUAUAAUAUAUAUAUAUAUUUUUUUUUUAAUAAGGUUGCUUGAUCAUUUAAGGAAGAUGGGUCGGGGAUAUUUGUCAUUUAUUUUUGAAAUAGACACUUUAGAUGCCAAGUGGUUCAUGAGUUGAUGUACCACUUGAGAUUAAUGAGUUGAGAUUUGGAGGGUCAACUCAGGAUGCUUUGGGAGGUCUUGGAUAGCUUCUGUCUGCUGGAGCUCAUGUGCAUCCACAGGAAUAGUCUCUGAUUUACCAAAGAACCAGAUCUACCUGCCUGGGCCCCAUCACUGUGCUGCGCCCAGCACAGGCUAGGGGGUGGUGAGCAGGUGCCUCUGCGCAGACAGCAGCGUGCUGCCACCUCGGGCUGCACACCAGCAGAGGCAGAGUGUGUUACAGUACCACAUCCCCAAGGCUCAUCAGUAUUUUUAGGUCCUCCUUCAACUUUUGACAAUUUAAAAUUUAAAUGAGCAAGAAGUGUAAAACAUUUGCAAAUGAGGUAAAAACACCUGAGCAGCUGGAGCUGCAGCCCUCCCUGGGCUGUGGCUUUAAUAAAACAGCCACUUGAGGGAGCUUCCAAGUGAGGGAUCUGCAAGAAAGCAAAUGUUUAAUUUAUUAUAGUCCAAAAGUAUCCAGAGCUGUCCAGUUUUGCCAACUUGAAAUAAUUCUUUUUACUUCAAGAUAAAGCCAAUAUUUAACAUUUCUGUCUGGCACCGAUUGAAUCAAAAUGUCAGGGGCUCAACUUUUGUGACUUUCAGCAUCACCUUCUUUGUCUCCCUCAGGAAAUUCUGUGUAAAAGGGCAGUUCAACACCUGCCCAAUUCUUAGGGAUUGGAGGGAAAUGCUGGCCUGUAGGGUCCAAGGGCCUCAGCCAAGGGUAGAGGCCUCACCUCAGGCAGGAUGUAAGGUGGGCUCCUUCCCUCUGCCCUCCAGCUCCUGCUCCACCCACCUCUCCAGACCCCUUACAGUAGCCAUUCCCUGUGGCCACUGGGGGAAGGGAACCAGCGGACGCUACUUGACUUGGUUCAGCUGCCCUCUGUGCCUAGCCUGCCAGCAUUGUCGAGAGGUAAAGAACACAGAACACACACCCAGCCCGACCUUCUAGGUUGAGUUACACCUUGGAGUGUUCCUUUUGGGCAGUGAUUGAUGUUGAUUUUUGUAUAUAAGUGAGUGAGAUGUUGUUACAAUUUUCACAGCACUUAGAACAAGGUGUUAGAUGUUGUGGCACCUUUGCCUAAUUAUGGCAUUUGUGCAGAUUGUUCUCAGUCAUGUAGGUUUAGUCUCAAAACAUCCACUCCUCCUCCCUGUGUAGACAGAGGUAAGCUGUGGCUGUGGAUGAGAGCAUCUGAAUGAAUUGUAUCCAUUUCAGAUGUUAGCUUUAAAAGCUAUAGGGUCAUGUUAGAAGUUUGGUUCCCGCCAAAUGAGUAAUUUUAGAGAUCUGCACAUCAGAUCUUUAUGGGUCUUGGAAAAAUGCUCCUCCUCAGUUCAAUUUUCUGCCGGGAAUGUGUUUCUAAGGCCCUUUAGGUAUUGGGCAUCUUCAGGUUUAUGUGGCACAUGGGUCAUUAGGGCCAUAGGCCCCAUUUCUGCAUCAGGAGGGCUGAGUCCAGAUGUUCUGGUUUAAUAUUUAUGAGUGGCUUCCAUUGAAAUACCUGUCCUUCCGAGAGAAGUGCCCCUACCCCCUGCCUCUCUAUUCCGGGUGAGUGAGCUGAAAACUGCCUCCUGCUUUUCUCAUUCACAUGGGAUUCUUUCAGAACAGAGUUUUAGAUAGGUCUUGAAUUGUGUUUUUGCCUUUUGCCAUAAUCUUGUGUCUUUGGUAGCAACAGUCAGGGAAGUGAUUGCUCUACCCCCAUCACUGUGCCAAGCCACAGGCUUGGGCGGGGCCCCGGGAUGACAGCCUUCGGUGGUUCAGCCACUGUGGCUGUCUGGACAGGCAUCCUCUUCUUCCAUUCCUGUUCCAUGUGCCCCCUCGCGAUGCUGUCUGCUCACUUGAAGGAGAUCUUCUCAGAUGGAGGGUGUAGCUGGUGGAGACCCUGGGGAAACCUUCCCCCCAGAUCACAGGGGGUGUCUGGUACUACUUGCUGUGGUUGGGCCUCCUCACUAGUCCUGCUCUCUCUCUUCCCAUGCCCAGGGCAGCCUGUCAGAAGCCAGAAUGGUAGCAGGCAGAGAGAGGCCUCAGUCCAGAGGGCCAUGGAAAGUGGAGUCAUGGAGCACAGUGCCUGCAGAGCUGCUGUUUUUCCCUCCCUUUGAAAUCGAGGGCUCAUCCUAAAUUGCUCUUCAGUGCCAACAAGCAAAGGGACGCCCACACAAGUUCUUCAGCAUUUUGUACAGAUUUACUGAACGCAACUCAGGCAUCCUUAAGGAAGCUCUGCAGCUUCCUCCUGGACCAGUAUUUCAUGAAAAUCCAGUAAUCUUGGGCUCUAAGGAGCAGGGUAGCCAGUCAUGUGACUUGGCAGGGGAAAGGGCUAAGGUUAAACCACAUUUAGCAGGCAGAUUACAUUUUCAGCCACUUUGCCAUGACUCUUCCUCUCUCUUUUUGGGGGGUGAGCAUCCUUUUAACCAUAUUCCCCUAUCCCUUAUCCUCCUUUAUCCCUUCAAAGCACCAAAUGAUAUAUAGCUGUAGUAAGCAAAAAUCUGUUGAAAUGUUUUUAAAAUUACAUGCUGCUGAACGAUAGGGCCAUAAGGAAAGUGUAGAUAUGGGAAUGUAUGUAUGUGAAUGAGUCAGUGAAUUUGAUUUUUUUUAUUUGUACAAAUGUAUGGGGUACAUGAGAAAUUCUGUUACAUGUAUAUAAUGCAUGUGAUCAGGUCAGGGUUAGGGUGUCUGUCACCCGAGUGCAGUACAUUUUUGCUAAGUAUAGUCAUCCUACUCCACUAUCUAACAUUGAAUUUAUUCCUUCUAUCUUACUAUGUGUUUAUACCCUUUAAUCCACUUCUCUUCAUCCUCCUCCCUCUCCACAUUCACCCUCCCAGUCUCUCUCUUUUCACUCUCUACCUCCAUGUGUUUAAAUUAUUUAGCUCCUGAAUAUAAGUGAGAACAUGGGAUAUUUGCCUUUGUGUGCCUGGUGUAUUUCACUUAAGAUAAUGACUUCCAGCUCCAUCCAUGUUGCUGCAACUGACAUGAUUUCAUUCUUUUUGACUGAAGAGUAUUCCUUUGUGUAUAUAUACUACAUUUUAUUUAUCCAUUCAUCCCUUGAUGGACACUGAGGUUGAUUUCAUAUCUUUGCUUUUGUGAAUAGUGCCACAAUAAACAUGCGAAUGCAGGCA